CGCAAAGCGAUGACGGAGACUAGUACGCAGGUCCUAUCUGUUUUUCAGGGAGAAGAUGCCACAGACUGCGAGCAUCUUUAGCACGAUAGCUGCCGAAUUCACUCCGUAGCCGCACUCUGAACCGCAUUGGCGCAGUAGGAGCAGCCGGGUCAUUCCCGUUACCAAUGAACUGAAGUGAGGCAGAAGUCUUGCUCGCAGUUAGUGAUAAUGUCACGGUUUUGUCACAAGCGAGCAAUCUGUCUAACAAGGGUGGUACCGCGAGAAAAAAGUAACUCGUCCCUUUU
This 284-nucleotide non-coding RNA is filed under the name Brevibacillus parabrevis. Its description in RNAcentral is "T-box sequence". It matches the Rfam family "T-box leader". From Rfam's summary of the family: Uncharged tRNA acts as the effector for transcription antitermination of genes in the T-box leader family. The record is from RNAcentral. Lineage: Bacteria; Bacillati; Bacillota; Bacilli; Caryophanales; Paenibacillaceae.